This 671-nucleotide long non-coding RNA is filed under the name Mustela putorius furo (domestic ferret). RNAcentral's name for it is "lncRNA (ENSMPUG00000023926.1)". The record is from RNAcentral. Lineage: Eukaryota; Metazoa; Chordata; Mammalia; Carnivora; Mustelidae.
GGGCCACCCAAGGCCACUGAAUUUCUCUCUUGCAACUGAACUGACCGGAGUUCACUCCCUGGUUGGGAGCCCCUCCAGGGAAGAGAGAGACAUGGGGCCUUGGACCCACAGCUCAGUAACUAUGGGAAUUUAAAGGAAAGACGAACAUCAGAGGGGCUGGAAGUAGAAAAUGCUCUGGGAGUCCGCAGAGCAAGAGAUCACCCUCAGUGGACAGUUCAGGACCUGAUUCACAAAACAGGCCACGAUCAAGAUUUUCCCAGAAGCUACCCAUGAACCAGAGCACCCAGGACCAACAAAACGCCCAGUGAGCUUAGACAAGAUGGAGGCUUUUUCCCUACAAGGACCUGCUAGGUGACACCCUGGAAAACAAUUGUCCUCGACUAAAAGGAAAAUUUGAAAACAUAUUACACUAACAUUACAUUAUCAUUUCAGACAAGGGAAAGGAUAAAAAGAACUGAGGACUGUGAACUGGGUGGCAGGUACUCAUAUAUCCAACCUCAUUUCCUGUGCUGUCUGUUCUCACAGUUCACAGCGUGUGGUUGGCAUUCGUUUCACAGGUGAGGAAACUGAGGCUUACAGAGGAACAUGGCCCCAGGCCAGUCAGUAAAGAGCAAAGCAGACCCAGGCUUGGACCUCAGCUCAACCAUGGAAUCCCUGCUGGGUCUCGGGCA